CACAAAUCUCAUUCGAAAUCACAUUCUACUCACCACACACCAGGCGUAUAUCAAACAAGUCAAAUUUAUUGGGCCACAAAUCUCAUUCGGAAUCACAUACUAUUCACCACAUACCAUGGCGUAUAUCAAACAAGGCAAAUUUAUUGAGCAUCACAAAACACUUCAGGUUUCAGGUCGGCUGCAAGACGCUGCAGGCUUUGCAGUUGCCACGCAUUCGCUGGCAUUCAAGCAGCUAGAACUAUAGUUACAGACUUGCGGGUAGAGAAGUCGAUAAUGGCUUCAAAACAGAACAAAGGUUUCUAACCACAAUAUAGAACUGACUUGAUCACGCGUUCUGCAAGCUACUUAUAUAGUGCAUACCAGAGAGAGUAAACGUUUCUGAUGAUUUGCUAGG
Molecule: ribosomal RNA, 394 nt
Filed under: Triticum aestivum (bread wheat)
Lineage: Eukaryota; Viridiplantae; Streptophyta; Magnoliopsida; Poales; Poaceae
Description: partial small subunit ribosomal RNA
Source: RNAcentral